GGGAUUCAUGACAAAAUUGUGUUUUGGUGAUGGUGAGGUGUUUGUAGAUCUAACUUUACUAAACAUUCUUGCUGCUUACAAUUUUCUCUAUCUAUAACAGUACUUUCUGUGGAAAAUGUUAUUGAAAAUCUUCAAAUUUUAAGAAAAUUGUUAAAAAUUGACUAUGAAGGGAAAUAACUCCUUAGGGGGUCAAUUGACUAUUUUGGUCAUACUGAAUUAUUUUUAGUUCUCACUUUGCUGUACAUUAUUGCUGUUUACAAUUUAUCUCUAUCUACAAUAAUAUUCAAGAUAAUAACAAAAAAACAGCAAAAUUUCCUCAAAAUUACCAAUUCAGGGGCAGCAACCUAACAACCGAUUAUCCGAUUCAUCUAAAAAUUCCAGGGCAGAUAGAUCAUGACCUGAUCAACAAUUUUACUUCCUGUCAGAUUUGCUCUUAAUGCUUUGGUUUUUGAGUUAUAAGCCAAAAACUGCAUUUUACCCCCAUGUUCUAUUUUUAGCCAUGGCGGCCAUCUUGGUUUGUUGGCCGAGUUACCAGACACAUUUUUUUAACUAGAUACCCCAAUGAUGAUUAUGGCUAAGUUUGGUUAAAUUUGGCCCUGUAGUUUCAGAGGAGAAGAUUUUUCUAAAAGAUUACUAAGAUUUACGAAAAAUGGUUUAAAAUUGACUAUAAAGGGAAAUAACUCCUAAAGAGGUCAACUGACCAUUUUGGUCAUGUUGACUUAUUUGUAGAUCUUACUUUGCUGAACAUUAUUGCUGUUUACAGUUUAUCUCUAUCUAUAAUAAUAUUCAAGAUAAUAACCAAAAACAGCAAAAUUUCCUUAAAAUUACCAUUUCAGGGGCAGCAACCCAACAACAAAAUGUGCGAUUCAUCUGAAAAUUUCAGGGCAGAUAGAUCUUGACCUGAUGAACAAUAUUACUCCGUCAGAUUUGCUCUAAAUGCUUUGGUUUUUGAGUUGUAAGCCAAAAACUGCAUUUUACCCCUAUGUUCUAUUUUUAGCCAUGG
This 1003-nucleotide long non-coding RNA is filed under the name Mytilus galloprovincialis (Mediterranean mussel). Lineage: Eukaryota; Metazoa; Mollusca; Bivalvia; Mytilida; Mytilidae. The record is from RNAcentral.